UACAGAGGUCCCAAGCGUUGUUCGGAUUCACUGGGCGUAAAGGGUGUGUAGGCGGUCGGGUAAGUCUGAUGUGAAAUCUCACAGCUUAACUGUGAAACUGCAUUGGAUACUAUCCGGCUCGAGGAAUGGAGGGGAGACUGGAAUACUUGGUGUAGCAGUGAAAUGCGUAGAUAUCAAGUGGAACACCAGUGGCGAAGGCGAGUCUCUGGACAUUACCUGACGCUGAGGCACGAAAGCCAGGGGAGCAAACGGG
This 253-nucleotide ribosomal RNA is filed under the name uncultured bacterium. RNAcentral's name for it is "partial 16S ribosomal RNA". It matches the Rfam family "Bacterial small subunit ribosomal RNA", at positions 524 to 776 of the family's 1533-position model. The record is from RNAcentral.